AGAGUUUGAUCCUGGCUCAGGAUGAACGCUGGCGGCAUGCCUAACACAUGCAAGUCGAUCGGUAAGGCUCUUCGGAGUACACGAGAGGCGGACGGCUGAGUAACGCGUAGGAACACACCCUGCAGUGAGGGAUAAGACACCGAAAGGUGUUCUAAUACCGCAUACGGUCUUCGGAUUAAAGCAUUUAUGCGCUGAAGGAGUGGCCUGCGUCAUAUUAGAUAGUUGGUGAGGUAAUGGCUUACCAAGUCGAUGAUGUGUAGCUGGUCUGAGAGGAUGAUCAGCCAGACUGGAACUGAGACACGGUCCAGACUCCUACGGGAGGCAGCAGUGAGGAAUAUUUCACAAUGAGCGAAAGCUUGAUGGAGCAAUGCCGCGUGCAGGAUGAAGGCCCUCGGGUUGUAAACUGCUUUUAUAAGAGAAGAUUAUGACGGUAACUUAUGAAUAAGGGACGGCUAACUACGUG
Molecule: ribosomal RNA, 463 nt
Filed under: uncultured bacterium
Lineage: Bacteria
Description: bacterial SSU rRNA
Rfam family: Bacterial small subunit ribosomal RNA
Source: RNAcentral